AACGGUCUAUACCUGCGGUACCUGCGGAAGGAUCAUUAUAGAGUGGUAAACCCUCCGUAAAAGGGGGGAACCUCCUGUCCUUUGUAGGCUCUUUUUUAAAGGGCUUUUUUAAUUUUCUGCUUCGGUGGGGUUAUCCCACCGGAACAACCUCAAAACUCUGAUCAAAAAAUUGUUCUGUCUGAGAACCUUUUAUAAUAAAAAAAACUUUCAGCAACGGAUCUCUAGAUCGGAAGAGCACAC
RNAcentral lists this unclassified non-coding RNA (240 nucleotides) under soil metagenome. RNAcentral describes it as "partial contains 5.8S ribosomal RNA, internal transcribed spacer 2, and large subunit ribosomal RNA". The record is from RNAcentral.